Molecule: long non-coding RNA, 647 nt
Organism: Notolabrus celidotus (New Zealand spotty)
Lineage: Eukaryota; Metazoa; Chordata; Actinopteri; Labriformes; Labridae
Exons: 5
Source: RefSeq, a predicted model, not a curated record
GUCAGAUUGCACCUUGAAGGACAUGAGACAUCUAUCCAUGAAGUGUUGAAGUCCCUGGCGGUAUCUGUGAAACUUUGGGGACCAAAAGAGGGAGCGAAGGUACACUUCAUUUUAGUUCUGUUUGGUGCCUUUAUGAUGUGUCGUCAAGGGAUGACCACGACAGACUGAAAAACAGAGAUAUUGUGGGAAAUGACAAAUGCACUUCAGCAACCAAGCGGAAAGCAGAGCAGGUGAUGGGCAUGCAUAGGACGAUGGUCUCUGUAGUUCGUUCUUCCCUGUGCUCUGCUCCACCAUGGCUGAAACAGAACUACACUUCUUGCCUGGAAGACCUAUCUUUUCACACCGUCAGAGGUCCACAACGGUUGCUGCUCGAGCCGACGUCUGGUUCUGCCAGCUGUCUCACUGAUGUCAAUGCGAGCCCGGUGGACGUCAGGUGUCUCCUGGCCAGGUUCCUUUAUUCUUCAUCUUCUUUCUGCAGAUUGCUGUUAUAAUCCUCUGGCAGAAACUUUCUUCAUGUUCCUGAAUCUUGGCUUGUCAUCAAAGGUGAUCUGGCUUUUGCUGUUUUGGCCCCUAAGCUCUGGACCUCCCUGCCAGAUGAUCUAAAAUUAGUUAAUUCUGUGUCUUUUUUUUAUUUCUAUUUUAUUGUA